GGCUUGGCGCGCGCGGCGCGGCUCUCUGAGUUGUCUGCCGUUGUGCGCCUGCCAUCCUUGCGUCGGCUGUCUGUGCCCUUCACUGGGUUGCAGGCGGUCCGUCGCAUCUUUUACUUUGAAAAAAUUAGAGUGUUUAAAGCAGGCUUGCGCUAUGAAUACAUUAGCAUGGAAUAAUAAUUUAGGACUUCUGUUCUAUUUUGUUGGUUUCUAGGAUGGAAGUA
Molecule: ribosomal RNA, 221 nt
Filed under: uncultured fungus
Lineage: Eukaryota; Fungi
Description: partial small subunit ribosomal RNA
Rfam family: Eukaryotic small subunit ribosomal RNA (bases 102-221)
Source: RNAcentral